This is a long non-coding RNA of Salvelinus fontinalis (brook trout), 1145 nucleotides long. RefSeq lists it as uncharacterized. The transcript has 3 exons. Lineage: Eukaryota; Metazoa; Chordata; Actinopteri; Salmoniformes; Salmonidae. The record is from RefSeq and is a predicted model, not a curated record.
GUCUCUGGGGAGGAAUAAAUGCCCCUGAGGAGGUGUUUGCUUUAGGGAGACAGCUCGGGAGCUGUACAGGGUCCACACAGCAGUGGAUUCGAGAGGGGUAUCUGCACUCGCUGUUCCUUUUUCCUAUGCAUAUACCGCUUUGAGAUCUAGCUUUAAAGAGGCAUAGGGCAUGGGAAAAUGGGGCUGCAGAGGUAUUUCACCGACCAAACUACCCCUGGUUGUUCAACUACCACAGCCCUGAGUUCUCCCUGUUUCCCCAUUUUGGACCUGAUCUAGAGGACUCCAGAAUAAAAAAGACCGCAACAAGACCACACCCUGAAGUCAGUGGAGAGACCAUACCUCGUAAGGAGAGACUGGUUUUUACAAUGUCCUGAAACAUUCUGUUGUCAUCGGAUGGCUCCUUUAUUUAUGAUGAUAAUGCUGUAGUACAUUUCGUAGCUGACCAAGCUGUUGCUGUAUUGCUGACUUUUCUACAUUGAUUAAUGUUUUGCAGUGUUUGUUGUCCACCUAGUGGGUGGAAUUGUCUGCCUGUUGUUGUUCAGUAACAAAGACCUGAGCCCUAGGACCAUGCCUCAGGACUACUUGGCCUGAUGACUCCUUGCUGUCCCCAGUCCACCUGGUCAUGCUGCUGCUGCUCCAGUUUCAACUGAGACUGUGGAACCCUGACCUGUUCACUGGAUGUGCUACCUUGUCCCGGACCUGCUGUUUUAGACUCUCUCUCUCUCUACCGCACCUGCUGUCUGUAAACUCUGAAUGAUCGGCUAUGAAAAGCAAACUGACAUUUACUCCUGAGGUGCUGACCUGUUGCACCCUCUACAACUACUGUGAUUAUUAUUAUUUGACCCUGCUGGUCAUCUAUGAAAGUUUGAACAUCUUGGCCAUGUUCUGUUAUAAUCUCUACCCGGCACAGCCAGAAGAGGACUGGCCACCCCUCAUAGCCUGGUUCCUCUCUAGGUUUCUUCCUAGGUUCUGGCCUUUCUGGGGAGUUUUUCCUAGCCAAUGUGCUUCUACAUCUGCAUUGCUUGCUGUUUUAGGUUAGGUGUCUGUACAGCACUUUGUGACAUUGGCUGAUGUAAAAAGGCCUUUAUAAAUAAAUUUGAUUGAUAGAAAAAAACGGUAACUGUAUCCAUUAAAUUACCAUCAUA